RNAcentral lists this unclassified non-coding RNA (314 nucleotides) under plant metagenome. Its description in RNAcentral is "partial contains 5.8S ribosomal RNA, internal transcribed spacer 2, and large subunit ribosomal RNA". The stretch from base 1 to 105 matches the Rfam family "5.8S ribosomal RNA", at positions 50 to 154 of the family's 154-position model. The record is from RNAcentral.
GAAAUGCGAUAAUUAAUGAGAAUUGCAGAAUUCAGUGAAUCAUCGAGUCUUUGAACGCACAUUGCGCCCCCUGGUAUUCCGGGGGGCAUGCCUGUCCGAGCGUCAUUGCUGCCCUCAAGCACGGCUUGUGUGUUGGGCUUCCGUCCCUGGCAACGGGGACGGGCCCAAAAGGCAGUGGCGGCACCAUGUCUGGUCCUCGAGCGUAUGGGGCUUUGUCACCCGCUCCCGUAGGUCCAGCUGGCAGCUAGCCUCGCAACCAAUCUUUUUAACCAGGUUGACCUCGGAUCAGGUAGGGAUACCCGCUGAACUUAAGC